This 497-nucleotide ribosomal RNA is filed under the name uncultured bacterium. RNAcentral describes it as "partial 16S ribosomal RNA". It matches the Rfam family "Bacterial small subunit ribosomal RNA", at positions 28 to 507 of the family's 1533-position model. The record is from RNAcentral.
GAUGAACGCUGACGGCGUGCCUAAUACAUGCAAGUCGAGCGAACGGACGAGAAGCUUGCUUCUCUGAUGUUAGCGGCGGACGGGUGAGUAACACGUGGAUAACCUACCUAUAAGACUGGGAUAACUUCGGGAAACCGGAGCUAAUACCGGAUAAUAUUUUGAACCGCAUGGUUCAAAAGUGAAAGACGGUCUUGCUGUCACUUAUAGAUGGAUCCGCGCUGCAUUAGCUAGUUGGUAAGGUAACGGCUUACCAAGGCAACGAUGCAUAGCCGACCUGAGAGGGUGAUCGGCCACACUGGAACUGAGACACGGUCAAGACUCCUACGGGAGGCAGCAGUAGGGAAUCUUCCGCAAUGGGCGAAAGCCUGACGGAGCAACGCCGCGUGAGUGAUGAAGGUCUUCGGAUCGUAAAACUCUGUUAUUAGGGAAGAACAUAUGUGUAAGUAACUGUGCACAGCUUGACGGUACCUAAUCAGAAAGCCACGGCUAACUACGUG